ACGCAGUGGAACUUCUGUCAAAGGCUAUGUGUACUGUAGCCAUGGGCUCGAGGGCCAGUGAUUCCCAAGGCUGUUGACGUCCAGGUGAUUCUAUCAUGAGCCACAGAUGCCGGAAGUGAACCUGCAGGAUUCGGUUCCUGGGAUCAAACUCAGCAGCUAAGUGCCUUUACCUGCCGAGCCUUUUCUCUCUCUCCAGAGGAGCAAGUGGAGCGCCGACACUGCGUUUUCGAACAGCUAGAACACAGACACAGUGAACAGGUUCAUCAAGGAGGAAAUGGUUCCUCUGGCCCAUUUCUGUCAUGAACUCUUCAGAUAUUUUAAAAAAGCAUAAAGGAACUGGUGGAAUGGCUCAGGACCCACCUGAUGGAAUGAGAGAGUCAGCUCCCACAAAUUGUUUUCUGCCCUUCAUACAUGUGCCAUGGCACCCCUAAAACACAUAAUGAGUAAGAACAUAAACGAAGAAGAAAGGAGGAAUGAAGAGGAUUCGAGGGGCAGCAAUGUGGCUCAGUUCAAGCCUGAGUUCUAGCUCCAGACCCCUCCCAAAGGCAGGAGAAAGCCAGUGUACAUGGUUAACUCUGUCUUCGGAUUUAUACCCCUCACACACAAUAAAAAAAUAUAUGAAUUUGUAAAU
This 631-nucleotide long non-coding RNA is filed under the name Rattus norvegicus (Norway rat). RNAcentral's name for it is "long non-coding RNA NONRATT024528". The record is from RNAcentral. Lineage: Eukaryota; Metazoa; Chordata; Mammalia; Rodentia; Muridae.